Molecule: ribosomal RNA, 1372 nt
Filed under: uncultured bacterium
Lineage: Bacteria
Description: bacterial SSU rRNA
Rfam family: Bacterial small subunit ribosomal RNA
Source: RNAcentral
GAUGAACGCUGGUUGCGUGCCUAAUACAUGCAAGUCGAGCGAACGGACGAGAAGCUUGCUUCUCUGAUGUUAGCGGCGGACGGGUGAGUAACACGUGGAUAACCUACCUAUAAGACUGGGAUAACUUCGGGAAACCGGAGCUAAUACCGGAUAAUAUUUUGAACCGCAUGGUUCAAAAGUGAAAGACGGUCUUGCUGUCACUUAUAGAUGGAUCCGCGCUGCAUUAGCUAGUUGGUAAGGUAACGGCUUACCAAGGCAACGAUGCAUAGCCGACCUGAGAGGGUGAUCGGCCACACUGGAACUGAGACACGGUCCAGACUCCUACGGGAGGCAGCAGUAGGGAAUCUUCCGCAAUGGGCGAAAGCCUGACGGAGCAACGCCGCGUGAGUGAUGAAGGUCUUCGGAUCGUAAAACUCUGUUAUUAGGGAAGAACAUAUGUGUAAGUAACUGUGCACAUCUUGACGGUACCUAAUCAGAAAGCCACGGCUAACUACGUGCCAGCAGCCGCGGUAAUACGUAGGUGGCAAGCGUUAUCCGGAAUUAUUGGGCGUAAAGCGCGCGUAGGCGGUUUUUUAAGUCUGAUGUGAAAGCCCACGGCUUAACCGUGGAGGGUCAUUGGAAACUGGAAAACUUGAGUGCAGAAGAGGAAAGUGGAAUUCCAUGUGUAGCGGUGAAAUGCGCAGAGAUAUGGAGGAACACCAGUGGCGAAGGCGACUUUCUGGUCUGUAACUGACGCUGAUGUGCGAAAGCGUGGGGAUCAAACAGGAUUAGAUACCCUGGUAGUCCACGCCGUAAACGAUGAGUGCUAAGUGUUAGGGGGUUUCCGCCCCUUAGUGCUGCAGCUAACGCAUUAAGCACUCCGCCUGGGGAGUACGACCGCAAGGUUGAAACUCAAAGGAAUUGACGGGGACCCGCACAAGCGGUGGAGCAUGUGGUUUAAUUCGAAGCAACGCGAAGAACCUUACCAAAUCUUGACAUCCUUUGACAACUCUAGAGAUAGAGCUUUCCCCUUCGGGGGACAAAGUGACAGGUGGUGCAUGGUUGUCGUCAGCUCGUGUCGUGAGAUGUUGGGUUAAGUCCCGCAACGAGCGCAACCCUUAAGCUUAGUUGCCAUCAUUAAGUUGGGCACUCUAAGUUGACUGCCGGUGACAAACCGGAGGAAGGUGGGGAUGACGUCAAAUCAUCAUGCCCCUUAUGAUUUGGGCUACACACGUGCUACAAUGGACAAUACAAAGGGCAGCGAAACCGCGAGGUCAAGCAAAUCCCAUAAAGUUGUUCUCAGUUUGGAUUGUAGUCUGCAACUCGACUACAUGAAGCUGGAAUCGCUAGUAAUCGUAGAUCAGCAUGCUACGGUGAAUACGUUCCCGGGUCU